Non-coding RNA from Triticum aestivum (bread wheat), 94 nucleotides. The record is from Rfam. NCBI's taxonomy places the organism in Eukaryota, Viridiplantae, Streptophyta, Magnoliopsida, Poales, Poaceae.
AAUAUACUCCCUCCGUUCCAAAAUAGAUGACUCAACUUUGUACUAAUGUUAGUACAAAGUUGAGUCAUCUAUUUUGGAACGGAGGGAGUACUUC